RNAcentral lists this long non-coding RNA (798 nucleotides) under Medicago truncatula (barrel medic). RNAcentral's name for it is "long non-coding RNA (MTRU_LNC007176)". The record is from RNAcentral. Lineage: Eukaryota; Viridiplantae; Streptophyta; Magnoliopsida; Fabales; Fabaceae.
UUUCUUCAUCUUCUUCGCCGGUUUAGAACCUUGCUUCUUUCUCUCUUCUUCUUUCUCUGUGAUCAACGCUUGAGCUUGCUUCAAUGCGAGCUCGCGUUUGGAAUUGCAGAGAAACGAUCAAUUCAAUGAUGAAGAUUCCACAGAAUCUCUGAGAAUUGAUCCAAAAAUUGUUGAUUCUGAUGAAUUUUGAUUUCUGGAAAACGGUUAGGGUUUUUGUUCUUGGUGUUCUUGAGAAAAUCUGAGAAAUAUUCUGUUUCUGAUCUAACUGAAUAGAGAGAGAGAAUCUGAUUGUGUUUAUGAGUUGGCGUGUGAUUAAUGGGUCUGUGUGGCACUGUACACCUUUUAUAGCUUGACAUGUGUGCUUCUGAACAAAUGAGAAAGUGACACCUGGACCUGGAGAAAAAAAAUGACACGGCCUUGGCAAACUUGGCUUCUGGACCUUUCUGCAAAAACAAAGAAUUUGGGGACUAAACUGCAAAAUUAAUUAAAAAAAGCUUGAAAUGAAAUUUAAAAAAUAGUUUGGACAAAAUGCAAUUUUGGGACCUCAAUUGAGGGACCAAAAUGCAAUUAAAAAUAAAAUUGAGUAAAAAACGUAAUUUGACCAAACGUAAAGCGAAACAAAAAAAUAAAACUAACAAAAUGGACUAAAACGAACCAAUGGCCUAAAUGAGGUACUUCAAAGUAACCUCUCUAUGCCAAAAUUUUGUGUGAAAUGACCAAAAUGCCCCUAGGGCUAAAAAUGACCUAAACAGAUUCAAAUUGACUUGACACUGACUCAGAUGCAAGUUUGAAAUGAAU